Molecule: ribosomal RNA, 411 nt
Filed under: uncultured bacterium
Lineage: Bacteria
Description: bacterial SSU rRNA
Rfam family: Bacterial small subunit ribosomal RNA
Source: RNAcentral
GUGCCAGCAGCCCGGUAAUACAGAGGGUGCGAGCGUUAAUCGGAAUUACUGGGCGUAAAGCGCGCGUAGGCGGCUUUGCAAGUCGGGUGUGAAAUCCCCAGGCUUAACCUGGGAACUGCAUUCGAGACUGCAUUGCUAGAGUAUGGGAGAGGGAAGUGGAAUUUCCGGUGUAGCGGUGAAAUGCGUAGAUAUCGGAAGGAACAUCAGUGGCGAAAGCGACUUCCUGGACCAAUACUGACGCUCAUGUGCGAAAGCGUGGGGAGCAAACAGGAUUAGAUACCCUGGUAGUCCACGCCAUAAACGAUGACAACUGGAUGUCGGGAGGGUCUGCCUCUCGGUGUCGUAGCUAACGCGUUAAGUUGUCCGCCUGGGGAGUACGGCCGCAAGGUUGAAAUUCAAAGGAAUUGGCGG